GUGGCAGUAGCUCAGUGGUAGAGCCCCCGCUCUUUACGCGGGAAGACCUGGGUUCGAUUCUCGGCUGCUUACC
This is a non-coding RNA of Toxocara canis (dog roundworm), 73 nucleotides long. The record is from Rfam. NCBI's taxonomy places the organism in Eukaryota, Metazoa, Nematoda, Chromadorea, Rhabditida, Toxocaridae.